UCCCCCGUAGUUCAAUGGAUAGAAUAAGCGCCUCCUAAGCGCUAGAUACAGGUUCAAUUCCUGUCGGGGGGU
RNAcentral lists this transfer RNA (72 nucleotides) under Burkholderia sp. RNAcentral's name for it is "tRNA-Arg". It matches the Rfam family "tRNA". From Rfam's summary of the family: Transfer RNA (tRNA) molecules are approximately 80 nucleotides in length. Their secondary structure includes four short double-helical elements and three loops (D, anti-codon, and T loops). Lineage: Bacteria; Pseudomonadati; Pseudomonadota; Betaproteobacteria; Burkholderiales; Burkholderiaceae. The record is from RNAcentral.